RNAcentral lists this ribosomal RNA (292 nucleotides) under uncultured Verrucomicrobiota bacterium. RNAcentral describes it as "uncultured Verrucomicrobia bacterium partial 16S ribosomal RNA". Lineage: Bacteria; Pseudomonadati; Verrucomicrobiota. The record is from RNAcentral.
GGACUACUGGGGUAUCUAAUCCCGUUUGCUCCCCUGGCUUUCGUGCCUCAGCGUCAGGAAAUGUCCAGAGACUCGCCUUCGCCACUGGUGUUCCACUUGAUAUCUACGCAUUUCACUGCUACACCAAGUAUUCCAGUCUCCCCUCCAUUCCUCUAGCCGGACAGUUUCCAAUGCAGUUCCGCAGUUAAGCUGCGGGAUUUCACAUCAGACUUGUCCAACCGCCUACGCACCCUUUACGCCCAGUGAAUCCGAACAACGCUUGGGACCUCUGUAUUACCGCGGCUGCUGGCAC